RNAcentral lists this unclassified non-coding RNA (341 nucleotides) under soil metagenome. Its description in RNAcentral is "partial contains 5.8S ribosomal RNA, internal transcribed spacer 2, and large subunit ribosomal RNA". The stretch from base 1 to 120 matches the Rfam family "5.8S ribosomal RNA", at positions 35 to 154 of the family's 154-position model. The record is from RNAcentral.
GAUGAAGAACGUAGCGAAAUGCGAUAAGUAGUGUGAAUUGCAGAAUUCAGUGAAUCAUCGAAUCUUUGAACGCACAUUACGCCCCUUGGUAUUCCAUGGGGCAUGCCUGUUCGAGCGUCAUUUGUACCCUCAAGCUAUGCUUGGUGUUGGGUGUUUGUCCUCUCCUUUUGCGAUUGGACUCGCCUUAAAGACAUUGGCAGCCAGUGUAUUGGUCUUGAAGCGCAGCACAUUUUGCGAUUCUUGCUGAUAAUCACUAGCGUCCAGUAAGCCUAUUUUAACACUUUUGACCUCGGAUCAGGUAGGGAUACCCGCUGAACUUAAGCAUAUCAAUAAGCGGAGGA